Molecule: ribosomal RNA, 364 nt
Filed under: uncultured Methanosaeta sp.
Lineage: Archaea; Methanobacteriati; Methanobacteriota; Methanomicrobia; Methanotrichales; Methanotrichaceae
Description: bacterial SSU rRNA
Rfam family: Archaeal small subunit ribosomal RNA
Source: RNAcentral
UUAGCUGAGAGGUGGUGCAUGGCCGUCGUCAGUUCGUACUGUGAAGCAUCCUGUUAAGUCAGGCAACGAGCGAGACCCACGUCCACAGUUGCCAGCAUACCCUCCGGGGUGAUGGGUACACUGUGGAGACCGCCGCUGCUAAAGCGGAGGAAGGAGUGGGCAACGGUAGGUCAGUAUGCCCCGAAUCUCCCGGGCUACACGCGGGCUACAAUGGUUGGUACAAUGGGCAUCUACCCCGAAAGGGGAAGGAAAUCUCUUAAAGCCAAUCGUAGUUCGGAUUGAGGGCUGCAACUCGCCCUCAUGAAGCUGGAAUCCGUAGUAAUCGCGUUUCAACAGAACGCGGUGAAUACGUCCCUGCUCCUUU